Callithrix jacchus (white-tufted-ear marmoset) is the source of this 1793-nucleotide long non-coding RNA. The record is from Ensembl. Lineage: Eukaryota; Metazoa; Chordata; Mammalia; Primates; Cebidae.
AAAUGGUUUUUUGGGCAGAAAACACCACUUAGUUUCACUUCAUCCAAACUCAUCCAUAAACACACACCAUCAUUUCCCAGGCUAGUCCACUGCUCUGUUGAAGAAAUCCACAAUGUUGCUGCUGAAGCCUCCUUCUGCUCUUUUUUUUUUUUUUUUUUGAGACGGAGUUUCCCUUUUGUUACCCAGGCUGGAGUGCAAUGGCCUGAUCUCGGCUCACCGCAACCUCUGCCUCCUGGGCUCAAGCAAUUCUCCUGCCUCAGCCUCCCGAGUAGCUGGGACUACAGGCACACGCCACCAUGCCCAGCUAAUUUUUGUAUUUUUAGUAGAGACGGGGUUUCACCAUGUUGACCAGGAUGGUCUUGAUCUCUUGACCUUGUGAUCCACCCGCCUCGGCCUCCCAAAGUGCUGGGAUUAUAGGCGUGAGCCGCCGAGCCUGGCCUGCUCUUUAAAUAUGCAAAGCUCAAGUUCAACUUGGUGUGCUUUAAGAAAAAAGUUUUGUAAUAUAUGUAAUAAGAACAUUUUCUGGCUGUAAGACCAAAAAUGUGACAAUGUACCUGCUUUUCCUAUAGCCCAGACAAGUAAAAGAGGUAGCAUUCUCAGCAAACUGACACAAGAACAGAAAAUGAAAUACCACAUAUUCUCACUCAUAGGCGGGUGAGGAAAAAUGAGAACACAUGGACACAGGAUGUUCUCAUCUAUGCUUAUGGUGAUGCUGGCUCCACCCAUGAGGUCUCAUAUAUUCAUCAGUUCCUGCUCCAUAGACUCCUUGAAGUUGUCUUCAGACCCUUCUGUUAUGAAGAUUCUGUCCUCAGAUUGUCUACAGUUUUUGAAAUUGAUGCUGCAACAGUUAAGGUUGGGAGGCUGGUUGUGCUGUGGACCUGUUCUGCUUUUCCAAACACUCCCUGGUACUUAAUUUAAAAUGCAGUCUUAUCUUCCAAUCUCACCUUAAACUAUUGUUUAAGGCCAAUAUUUUCUAUCAAACAGCUGCACUAAAAACCCUCCUAAGAGAGGCCUUCUGUGUUUAAUAUUGGAUUAAGCAGGGCUUCUGGAUCUUUACUUGCAUCUCUAGAGCAUAGUGGAGCUAAAUGUGCAAGGAUUAUUUGAGAGUCUCAAGUUGGUGUGAAAAUAUCAGGUUCAAGCAAGGCAGCUGCUUCAGGCUGUGUGAAGCUCUUUUAGAUUGCUGCCACUAUGAAGAUGUCUCAUUAGAAGAUUCCCGUACCCAGGAGAUGUCAUGAGACCAUCAUGCAGGAGGUGAGUGGCAAAUAACUUCAAAUAAGCAGAACUCUGUUGCCCAAGUUCUGUGCCCAUUGGACAAGCAGUUCCAUGUGAGGAGGUGUUUUAUUUACAGUACAAAACCACACAUGACUCCAGCAGCUCAUCCAGGAACCCCAAAUAUCGCCAGCAAGAUCAAAACUCAUGAAUUCAGCCUGGGGUUUCCUUCUCUAAAAAGCAGGUAGAGGCAUCAAAGCUAGAGCUCAGAAAUUUUUUUCGCAGACAUUCCCAUAAGCCUAGCAAGAUUGAAAAGAGAUAGAGGAAGCCUAAGCUAAAAUAUUUAAAAUAAUCUGAAGAAAAAAAAAAUUUACAGAGAAAAAGAGUCAUGUCCAAAAACUGUUUCAUUUUUGGAAAAGACAACAACAACAAAAAUUAUAAAACAUAUUAAAGUAAUCCCAAGGAAAUAAAAGAGGUGACUUAUAAAAUAUAAGAGGAGAAACAGGUUAAUGAAAAAACAGCACAAACAGUAGAAUUGAUAAAACAUUCUGUUCUUUAAAUAAACUAAUGAAAUAAAGAGGCCU